AGCAGCCGCGGUAAUUCCAGCUCCAAUAGCGUAUAUUAAAGUUGUUGCAGUUAAAAAGCUCGUAGUUGAAUUUCGGGGUUAGUAAGUUGGUCAGCCUUCGGUAUGUACUGGCUUUACUGAUUCCUCCUUCUUGACGAACCGUGAUGUCAUUAAUUUGGUGUUGCGGGAAAUCAGGACUGUUACUUUGAAAAAAUUAGAGUGUUUAAAGCAGGCUAACGCUUGAAUACAUUAGCAUGGAAUAAUGAAAUAGGACGUUAAUCCUAUUUUGUUGGUUUCUAGGAUCGACGUAAUGAUUAAUAGGGAUAGUUGGGGGCAUUAGUAUUCAAUUGUCAGAGGUGAAAUUCUUGGAUUUAUUGAAGACUAACUACUGCGAAAGCAUUUGCCAAGGAUGUUUUCAUUAAUCAAGAACGAAAGUUAGGGGAUCGAAGACGAUCAGAUACCGUCGUAGUCUUAACCAUAAACUAUGCCGACUAGGGAUCGGAUGAUGUUAUUUUUAAUGACUCA
RNAcentral lists this ribosomal RNA (504 nucleotides) under uncultured fungus. Its description in RNAcentral is "SSU rRNA". It matches the Rfam family "Eukaryotic small subunit ribosomal RNA", at positions 569 to 1078 of the family's 1831-position model. The record is from RNAcentral. Lineage: Eukaryota; Fungi.